Molecule: non-coding RNA, 1616 nt
Organism: Vicugna pacos (alpaca)
Lineage: Eukaryota; Metazoa; Chordata; Mammalia; Artiodactyla; Camelidae
Source: RefSeq, a predicted model, not a curated record
UCUCACAGCCCCAGCCAGGCGAAGCUCUGGAGAGCAGGCGUCCGAUCCGCGCUUCGAGGACGCCGCUACAAAUCCUCCCCGAUCCCCGCUGUCCUGGGCUGGCUGCUUGGGUUUGCGCCGGGAGCCGGGAGCCGCGAGACUCCGCUGGACCUCCGACCGCUUGCACACGCUGGCCCUGGACCCACUUCUGCUUUGUUAACCAGAGGAUAGAAAAUGCCUUUUGCAAAGCCUCCUCGAAUGUUCUUUCGGGUCCACAGCCAAGGACUUCAACCUUUGCCACAGUGGAGCGCGAGAGGAGGGAAAUUGUUUCAGGUGAAGUGCCCAAGGCAAGGGCCCCCACCCUAGCCGGAGGAGCCUCCCUCCCCACCAGCGUCACCGAAAGCCUGCGAAGAGAGGGAGAAAAACUCGGCUAGAAGCUCCCGGGAAUCUUGAAGAAGCUUGGGAUGCGCGGACCAGGCGUCCGGGUCGAAGGAGGUCCCGGGACCUCGAAGACCUCUGCGUCCCCGGCCCCAGCACUCCUGUCAGGGCCAGGGAUCCGGGCACCCCAGACAUCUCAAGAAGAGAAAGGGGGUUCAGAAUAGGAGGAUCCCGUUCCCAGACGUCACACAGACAUACAAAGACAUACACUUUCAUGCACGUUCACACACACACACACACACACACACACACACACACGAGCACAGUUAAGUAAAACAACACACGCAGUGAUGCACACUAAGUCACAAGAGACCAAACACACACACAAUUACUGUAUGUAAAGACACACAAUGACACAGACGCCGAGACCACAGAUACACACUGAAGCUCACUGUCUACGCACACAGCGCAGCCGGCUGUGCACUUGGCUGACAGUCUCCGGAGAAGGCGGAGCCUGGGCCACUGGGCAGGGACCGCCCUGCACCCAACCCGGGCUCCACCCGCUGGCUUCCUCCACCCUCCCCUUCACUCCCAGGGAGGGGAGCCUGCAGCAGAAGACUGUCCCCCGGCUGCUCCGACCCGGACUCAGCCCCAGGGUAGGGGUGGAGGGACAGGACCGCCCUUGACCCACAGGACUAAGGUUUCCCCAGGAUGAGAAAUAAGUUCACAGCUGGACCCUGGAUGGGCAGACAGAGGCUGGGAGUGGUUCUCUGACAGCCACUCUGACUGGAGAGGGGUGUUAUCCCUAACAAACCUGGAAAGGAUAACAACCCCACAGGGCCAGGCUACCAAAGAGAUUUUCCAAGGGGCAGACAGGCUUUGGCGGUUCCCACCUCCAUAGGUGUCUGCCCUUCUUCCCAGGGGCCCUUUCUAUCCAGCCUGGGUCUGAUUGAAAGUCAAGCUCAAAGACAGGUCCCCAUCAGCAGUGUUCAAAUUGGGGUAUUAUUUUUCUCUGCAGCCAAAAGAAAAACCCAAGUUUCUCUGAAAUGGCAAAAGCCACAAAAAACAUCCCACCUGUAGUCAUCGAUGUCCUGGAACUGCACUGACAAAUUUUGGAAAGGUAUAUAGUGUAAUAAAUUGGGAGCAAAUUAUGUGAAUUAAUCCAGAUACAUGGAAAGUCUCUGAGAACAAUGCCUGGUGUGUACACUAAACACUGAAGAAGUGCUUGCUCUCACAGACGGGAAACAGACACAAAGAGA